UACAGAGGGGGCAAGCGUUAUUCGGAAUUAUUGGGCGUAAAGAGCGUGUAGGCGGCCUGACAAGUCUGCUGUGAAAACUCGAGGCUCAACCUCGAGAUGUCGGCGGAAACUGUCUGGCUAGAGUUCGGUAGGGGAGACUGGAAUUCCUGGUGUAGCGGUGAAAUGCGCAGAUAUCAGGAGGAACACCGGUGGCGAAGGCGGGUCUCUGGGCCGAUACUGACGCUGAGGAGCGAAAGCGUGGGGAGCGAACAGG
Molecule: ribosomal RNA, 253 nt
Filed under: uncultured bacterium
Lineage: Bacteria
Description: partial 16S ribosomal RNA
Rfam family: Bacterial small subunit ribosomal RNA
Source: RNAcentral